AUUGAACGCUGGCGGCAUGCCUUACACAUGCAAGUCGAACGGCAGCGCGGACUUCGGUCUGGCGGCGAGUGGCGAACGGGUGAGUAAUACAUCGGAACGUACCCUGCUGUGGGGGAUAACUAGUCGAAAGAUUAGCUAAUACCGCAUACGACCUGAGGGUGAAAGUGGGGGACCGCAAGGCCUCACGCAGCAGGAGCGGCCGAUGUCUGAUUAGCUAGUUGGUGGGGUAAAGGCCCACCAAGGCGACGAUCAGUAGCUAGUCUGAGAGGACGAUCAGCCACACUGGGACUGAGACACGGCCCAGACUCCUACGGGAGGCAGCAGUGGGGAAUUUUGGACAAUGGGGGCAACCCUGAUCCAGCAAUGCCGCGUGUGUGAAGAAGGCCUUCGGGUUGUAAAGCACUUUUGUCCGGAAAGAAAUCGCGCUGGUUAAUACCUGGCGUGGAUGACGGUACCGGAAGAAUAAGCACCGGCUAACUACGUG
RNAcentral lists this ribosomal RNA (484 nucleotides) under uncultured bacterium. Its description in RNAcentral is "partial 16S ribosomal RNA". It matches the Rfam family "Bacterial small subunit ribosomal RNA", at positions 30 to 507 of the family's 1533-position model. The record is from RNAcentral.